RNAcentral lists this microRNA (20 nucleotides) under Prunus persica (peach). RNAcentral describes it as "microRNA miRNA_346". The record is from RNAcentral. Lineage: Eukaryota; Viridiplantae; Streptophyta; Magnoliopsida; Rosales; Rosaceae. RNAcentral also lists the same sequence under 2 other names.
GAAUGUUGUCUGGCUCGAGG